This 497-nucleotide ribosomal RNA is filed under the name uncultured bacterium. Its description in RNAcentral is "partial 16S ribosomal RNA". It matches the Rfam family "Bacterial small subunit ribosomal RNA", at positions 28 to 507 of the family's 1533-position model. The record is from RNAcentral.
GAUGAACGCUGGCGGCGUGCCUAAUACAUGCAAGUCGAGCGAACAGAUGAGGAGCUUGCUCCUCUGACGUUAGCGGCGGACGGGUGAGUAACACGUGGAUAACCUACCUAUAAGACUGGGAUAACUUCGGGAAACCGGAGCUAAUACCGGAUAAUAUAUUGAACCGCAUGGUUCUAUAGUGAAAGGCGGCUUUGCUGUCACUUAUAGAUGGAUCCGCGCCGCAUUAGCUAGUUGGUAAGGUAACGGCUUACCAAGGCAACGAUGCGUAGCCGACCUGAGAGGGUGAUCGGCCACACUGGAACUGAGACACGGUCCAGACUCCUACGGGAGGCAGCAGUAGGGAAUCUUCCGCAAUGGGCGAAAGCCUGACGGAGCAACGCCGCGUGAGUGAUGAAGGUCUUCGGAUCGUAAAACUCUGUUAUUAGGGAAGAACAAAUGUGUAAGUAACUGUGCACGUCUUGACGGUACCUAAUCAGAAAGCCACGGCUAACUACGUG